Tripterygium wilfordii is the source of this 598-nucleotide RNA transcript. It is a transcript of the gene named NADH dehydrogenase [ubiquinone] 1 beta subcomplex subunit 3-B-like, with no coding region annotated. The record is from RefSeq and is a predicted model, not a curated record. NCBI's taxonomy places the organism in Eukaryota, Viridiplantae, Streptophyta, Magnoliopsida, Celastrales, Celastraceae. The transcript has 2 exons.
CGCAUCUUUGGCUUUGAGACUUGAGAGAGAGCAGGAAGUGAAGAGGAGACAUGGCGAAACAGCUGGGAACCACAGGGGAGUUCUUCCGGAGGAGAGACGAGUGGAGGAAGCAUCCGAUGCUGGGCAAUCAGCUGCGGCACGCGACUCCUGGCCUUGGAAUCGCCCUCGUCGCCUUCGGCAUCUAUCUCGUCGGCGAGCAAGUCUACAACAAGCUCUAUGCGCCUUCUCAUCACCAUUCCUCUGCGCCUUCACAAUCUCAAUCUCACUGAUACCGAGUCACUCUUCUCAAUUUGAGAUGAGGGCAUGGUGGAAGGACUGAGCUUUUACAUGUUUCAAUUUAUCUUUUUGUGGAUUGCUUCAAUAAGCUCUCAAUGAGUACAAGCUUCUUUAGAGUUAAUGAUGUCCCUUUGUGGAACUCAUGGUAGAGAUGUUCUGUUAGUGUCUGGUUCACUGUCUCAUUACGUGAAAGUCAUCAGAUGUUGUGAACGUAUUGCAUAAGAUUUUACUUCUUACAUUCACAUUGUGUUUUAAAUUGUGCUUUGCAUGGUGCAAAGAUAUGGUUUUAAUUGCAAUUUAAAUGCUUGUUAUUUGAGUGAUC